This 82-nucleotide transfer RNA is filed under the name Methanobacteriota archaeon. Its description in RNAcentral is "Euryarchaeota archaeon tRNA-Leu". It matches the Rfam family "tRNA". From Rfam's summary of the family: Transfer RNA (tRNA) molecules are approximately 80 nucleotides in length. Their secondary structure includes four short double-helical elements and three loops (D, anti-codon, and T loops). Further hydrogen bonds mediate the characteristic L-shaped molecular structure. tRNAs have two regions of fundamental functional importance: the anti-codon, which is responsible for specific mRNA codon recognition, and the 3' end, to which the tRNAs corresponding amino acid is attached (by aminoacyl-tRNA synthetases). tRNAs cope with the degeneracy of the genetic code in two manners: having more than one tRNA (with a specific anti-codon) for a particular amino acid; and 'wobble' base-pairing, i.e. permitting non-standard base-pairing at the 3rd anti-codon position. RNAcentral also lists the same sequence under 4 other names. The record is from RNAcentral. Lineage: Archaea; Methanobacteriati; Methanobacteriota.
GCAGGGGUUCCCGAGUGGUCAAAGGGGCCGGACUUAAGCUCCGGUGCGUAGUGCUUCGCAGGUUCAAAUCCUGCCCCCUGCA